Transfer RNA from Monodelphis domestica (gray short-tailed opossum), 64 nucleotides. It matches the Rfam family "tRNA", at positions 5 to 66 of the family's 71-position model. Rfam says of the family: Transfer RNA (tRNA) molecules are approximately 80 nucleotides in length. Their secondary structure includes four short double-helical elements and three loops (D, anti-codon, and T loops). The record is from Rfam. Lineage: Eukaryota; Metazoa; Chordata; Mammalia; Didelphimorphia; Didelphidae.
CUUUAGUGCAGUAGGCAGCACAUCAGUCUUGUAAGCUGAUGGUCCUGAGUUUGAUCCUCAAAAG